This 456-nucleotide ribosomal RNA is filed under the name uncultured Pseudomonas sp. RNAcentral's name for it is "bacterial SSU rRNA". It matches the Rfam family "Bacterial small subunit ribosomal RNA", at positions 925 to 1382 of the family's 1533-position model. Lineage: Bacteria; Pseudomonadati; Pseudomonadota; Gammaproteobacteria; Pseudomonadales; Pseudomonadaceae. The record is from RNAcentral.
ACAAGCGGUGGAGCAUGUGGUUAAUUUCGAAGCAACGCGAAGAACUUACCAGGCCUUGACAUGCAGAGAACUUUCCAGAGAUGGAUUGUGCCUUCGGGAACUCUGACACAGGUGCUGCAUGGCUGUCGUCAGCUCGUAUCGUGAGAUGUUGGGUUAAGUCCCGUAACGAGCGCAACCCUUGUCCUUAGUUACCAGCACGUUAUGGUGGGCACUCUAAGGAGACUGCCGGUGACAAACCGGAGGAAGGUGGGGAUGACGUCAAGUCAUCAUGGCCCUUACGGCCUGGGCUACACACGUGCUACAAUGGUCGGUACAAAGGGUUGCCAAGCCGCGAGGUGGAGCUAAUCCCAUAAAACCGAUCGUAGUCCGGAUCGCAGUCUGCAACUCGACUGCGUGAAGUCGGAAUCGCUAGUAAUCGUGAAUCAGAAUGUCACGGUGAAUACGUUCCCGGGCCUU